This 253-nucleotide ribosomal RNA is filed under the name uncultured bacterium. RNAcentral's name for it is "partial 16S ribosomal RNA". It matches the Rfam family "Bacterial small subunit ribosomal RNA", at positions 524 to 776 of the family's 1533-position model. The record is from RNAcentral.
UACAGAGGUCCCAAGCGUUGUUCGGAUUUACUGGGCGUAAAGGGAGCGUAGGUGGCCUUCUAAGUCUGAUGUGAAAGCUCUGAGCUUAACUCAGAAAUGGCAUUAGAAACUAGUUUGCUAGAGGAUUGGAGGGGAGAUUGGAAUACUUGGUGUAGCAGUGAAAUGCGUAGAUAUCAAGUGGAACACCAGUGGCGAAGGCGAAGCUCUGGACAAUUCCUGACACUGAUGCUCGAAAGCGAGGGGAGCAAACGGG